AUUCCAGCUCCAAUAGCGUAUAUUAAAGUUGUUGCAGUUAAAAAGCUCGUAGUUGGAUUUGUGAAGGGUUGAGGGAUGCGUCCUCAUGGUCGCGAUCCUUUCGGCUUGUUCAUCUUUGGUUGGAAUCUGCGUGGCAUUAAGUUGUCGUGCAGGGGAUGGCCAUCGUUUACUGUGAAAAAAUUAGAGUGUUCAAAGCAGGCUUAUGCCGUUGAAUAUAUUAGCAUGGAAUAAUGAGAUAGGACCUUGGUACUAUUUUGUUGGUUUGCGCACCGAGGUAAUGAUUAAUAGGGACAGUUGGGGGUAUUUGUAUUUCAUUGUCAGAGGUGAAAUUCUUGGAUUUCUGAAAGACAAACUACUGCGAAAGCAUUUACCAAGGAUGUUUUC
Molecule: ribosomal RNA, 384 nt
Filed under: Ulnaria acus
Lineage: Eukaryota; Bacillariophyta; Fragilariophyceae; Fragilariales; Fragilariaceae
Description: SSU rRNA
Rfam family: Eukaryotic small subunit ribosomal RNA
Source: RNAcentral